RNAcentral lists this unclassified non-coding RNA (253 nucleotides) under uncultured bacterium. RNAcentral describes it as "contains 16S-23S intergenic spacer region". It matches the Rfam family "Bacterial small subunit ribosomal RNA", at positions 524 to 776 of the family's 1533-position model. The record is from RNAcentral.
UACGUAGGUGGCAAGCGUUGUCCGGAUUUACUGGGCGUAAAGCGAACGCAGGCGGAAUGUUAAGUAGGAAGUGAAAGGUUGGAGCUCAACUCUGACACUGCUCCCUAUACUGGCAUUCUUGAGUGCCGGAGAGGAAAGCGGAACGACACGUGUAGCGGUGAAAUGCGUUGAUAUGUGUCGGAACACCAAUGGCGAAAGCAGCUUUCUGGACGGAGACUGACGCUGAGGUUCGAAAGCUAAGGUAGCGAACAGG